UAAGUAUAAAUAUUUCUUUGUUUCUAUGUAUUAAACGAAGUGUUUUGUUUACAUCAAUGUCAUUUUUUUGUUAGUGCGCUGUAUGAUAUUCUGCAAGUUAUCAUUUUGAUUUAAGAUUCCCCUCAAGAUUCCUCAAUUAUGAUAUAUUGAAAACUAUAACCUGUUAACCCCAAGCACAUCUAUCACAUUUCCUACGCACGACACAUACUGCAGAUGCAAUAUUCUGUAAAUAUAUCCUUCAUUGUAGCUGAUAAAUUUGAUAUCAUUUCCUUUACUAUCAUAUUUUUUCUACAAAUUACUCUAAAUAUUGGUGGUCAAAUGCAUUUUCACGUUCUGAAUGUAACUAAAAACUGGGUCUGUUUGUAAAACAAAAAUGACAAAUUAUUUGGAUUUCACGUAAACCACUCUUAUUCAUCACACUAUUAUUCGUUAGUCAAUAAUUUUGGUGUUAUGUUCUUUUGUGGUUUUGAACACUGAAGGAAAUAACGGUAGAUAAAUGCACCAUAAAAAAGCAAGGAGUCUAGUAUGGAUUGUCGUUAUGAGUAAAAGUAAAAUGGUUAAGUGACUGUAAUAAAUGUGUUUGAUGAAAUUUCCUGGAUCCGGGAGAAAUACUGAACAUUACUACGAUUUCGUCUAAUUUGAGACCGAAGAUGUCAGAGACAAGAAGGGUUACUGGCCCCUGCACUAAAAAUAAAAUACACCAGUCAACGAAAAAGUUCGCCGACCAACAGGAAAUAUACAUUUUAUAUGGUAUCACAUCAGUUCAAACUGGCACGCGGUGGGCGAACUUUAAAACAGGUUUCUACAUCAUAAUCAGGCACCAUAAUAGAAUUUAAAUAUAUUCUAAUAACUUUUUGAUGACAAAAUCUCUUCGAUAAGUAUUGAAAUUCUCAUUUUUGUUUCAUUAUCCAAAAGACUUCAUUUCGUGGCGUUGAAGAUGCGGAUUUAGUUUAGUUUAGGGUGUCCACAAACGAAUGUGCUCAGUGUUGCGUGCUUAAUAUAGACUGACAUAAAACGUAUGCGAGCAAAUUGCACUACGAGUGGACGUUAAGAGAUAAUUAAAACUUGUCGCCCACUACAGAGAUUUCUACUCACCACGUUUGUACUAUACGCAAUUUACCCCUU
Long non-coding RNA from Daktulosphaira vitifoliae (grape phylloxera), 1125 nucleotides. RefSeq lists it as uncharacterized. The transcript has 4 exons. The record is from RefSeq and is a predicted model, not a curated record. NCBI's taxonomy places the organism in Eukaryota, Metazoa, Arthropoda, Insecta, Hemiptera, Phylloxeridae.